CGGUGUUGCUGAAUGCCAGGACAAGCUAAACGAAUAAACUUCGAGUUUGGCAUUCGCGCACUGCUUGGCGUUGAGGUCAAACCGUGCGCGAAUGUCAAACUCGAAGUGUAUUCGCUUAGCUUGUCCUGGGAUUCCGUAGCAUCU
This 144-nucleotide microRNA precursor is filed under the name Ectocarpus siliculosus. RNAcentral describes it as "miR3457 stem-loop (esi-MIR3457)". Lineage: Eukaryota; Phaeophyceae; Ectocarpales; Ectocarpaceae. The record is from miRBase by way of RNAcentral.